Molecule: long non-coding RNA, 375 nt
Filed under: Homo sapiens (human)
Lineage: Eukaryota; Metazoa; Chordata; Mammalia; Primates; Hominidae
Description: non-protein coding lnc-UBE2E2-6:1
Source: RNAcentral
GCGGUGUAAGAUUUGUUUUUAAACUGUACAGUGUCUUUUUUUGUAUAGUUAACACACUACCGAAUGUGUCUUUAGAUAGCCCUGUCCUGGUGGUAUUUUCAAUAGCCACUAACUUUGCCUGGUACAGUAUGGGGGUUGUAAAUUGGCAUGGAAAUUUAAAGCAGGUUCUUGUUGGUGCACAGCACAAAUUAGUUAUAUAUGGGGAUGGUAGUUUUUUCAUCUUCAGUUGUCUCUGAUGCAGCUUAUACGAAAUAAUUGUUGUUCUGUUAACUGAAUACCACUCUGUAAUUGCAAAAAAAAAAAGUUGCAGCUGUUUUGUUGACAUUCUGAAUGCUUCUAAGUAAAUACAAUUUUUUUAUUAAAAAAAAAAAAGAA